Non-coding RNA from Cladorrhinum sp. PSN259, 89 nucleotides. The record is from the annotation of a GenBank genome assembly. NCBI's taxonomy places the organism in Eukaryota, Fungi, Ascomycota, Sordariomycetes, Sordariales, Podosporaceae.
GCGCGGUUAGUAUAGUGGUUAGUAUUCUCGCUUCCCAAGAAAUUCUCUCUUGUUAGCGAGGGACCCGAGUUCGAACCUCGGAUCGCGCA